Molecule: ribosomal RNA, 401 nt
Filed under: uncultured bacterium
Lineage: Bacteria
Description: bacterial SSU rRNA
Rfam family: Bacterial small subunit ribosomal RNA
Source: RNAcentral
GGAAUAUUGGUCAAUGGGCGGGAGCCUGAACCAGCCAAGUCGCGUGAGGGAAGACGGUCCUACGGAUUGUAAACCUCUGUCCUCUGUGAAGAUAAUGACGGUAGCAGAGGAGGAAGCUCCGGCUAACUACGUGCCAGCAGCCGCGGUAAUACGUAGGGAGCAAGCGUUGUCCGGAUUUACUGGGUGUAAAGGGUGCGUAGGCGGCCUUGCAAGUCAGAAGUGAAAUCCAUGGGCUUAACCCGUGAACUGCUUUUGAAACUGUAGGGCUUGAGUGAAGUAGAGGCAGGCGGAAUUCCCGGUGUAGCGGUGAAAUGCGUAGAGAUCGGGAGGAACACCAGUGGCGAAGGCGGCCUGCUGGGCUUUAACUGACGCUGAAGCACGAAAGCGUGGGUAGCAAACAG